Molecule: long non-coding RNA, 1243 nt
Filed under: Ricinus communis (castor bean)
Lineage: Eukaryota; Viridiplantae; Streptophyta; Magnoliopsida; Malpighiales; Euphorbiaceae
Description: long non-coding RNA (RCOM_LNC003539)
Source: RNAcentral
AUUUUCUCAAGCAAUUAAUCAUCUAAAACUACUAUUUACACACAAUCAACAAACUGUCAUUUAUGACAGAUUUAUGAGGCUCUUCUCUACUAAUCACAAGGACAUUAAGUCUAGCUUCAUUUCCAAUUGGUCUUGCGAACAAGGAGGAUUAAAUAAAACAAUGUAGAUAGGUCAAUCUGUCAGGCCAGAUUGACCAUGAAAAUAUAAUACUCAAUUUGACUUCCAAAACAGCAGAAUUAGGACUUCCACAAAAUAAAUAGUUUUAGAGGACGGAUCAAAGUUUCUAUAGGUUCAUAUUUUGCCUCAUUUGGAGUUGUGGAACUCUAGAUAAUGCUCAAACAAGUGGACUGUCACACAGCGGACAGAAAUCCAAAACUCCAAUCAAGUUCACACUAAAAAAGGACCAACCUAAGGUUCACAUAAUUUGGCAUAGCACCAAUCUAACAUCUCAUGCCGUAAUACAACAAUUAAGCCAUAAACACAAAUUAAACACGGUCAAUAAUCAUCAUUUAAAGUAACCCAAAGCCCUUACUCACUUCAUGCAACUAAAUAAAAUUAAAAAAUAGUUACUGAAUUAUGCAGAGAUGAGGUUGAAGUACUAACCUUAGAAAUAAAAAUGAAGAUAGUGAACAAAAUAAGAAAAUAAGGAAGUUAUAAUUAGCCAAAGAAUCAUCCUCAAACAAUGUAAUUCUUAGAGUUGAUAGCUUCAAACUCAUCAUCAGUUCUCCAAUUUAAACUCUAAACAGCCUUCAAUAUCCCUUGUGCCGACCCAAUCCUUGUGUACUUCGAGUUUAAUCUUCAAACAUGGACCAAAUUUAACAAGCAUCAAUUUCCAAUCCAAUCAUAAUAUCACAUAUAUGCCCAAAAUUACUAAACCCAACUCAAGCCUGUCAACAAGAAGUUAGUAUCUUAAGUAAGCUUAAAGCAUAGCCAGGAGAGCUAUGGAGUUGGAUUUAAUCAAAGAAGCCUUUACCAUAGACAUAAAAAGAGAUAACCAAAGUAAGAGUAUGGUGAAUAGUAAAAGUUGUAGAGAAUAUGUAUCAAGAAAAGAGAAUUAGGACAUAAAUGGUUCCAUUAUUUGAAAACUAGGUUUACAAUCAUACACCUCAAAAUAUUUUAAACUGAGCUAACAUACAAGUCUUAAAACAUUUUCAAAUGAGAAACUCGACUCAAAAUCAUAUCAACAUAUUGUCAGAAUAACAUGAAGCAUCCACUCAUCUGCGAUACACAAUAAUUAUUAUUU